GAUGAACGCUGGCGGCGUGCCUAAUACAUGCAAGUCGAGCGAACAGACGAGGAGCUUGCUCCUCUGACGUUAGCGGCGGACGGGUGAGUAACACGUGGAUAACCUACCUAUAAGACUGGGAUAACUUCGGGAAACCGGAGCUAAUACCGGAUAAUAUAUUGAACCGCAUGGUUCAAUAGUGAAAGACGGUUUUGCUGUCACUUAUAGAUGGAUCCGCGCCGCAUUAGCUAGUUGGUAAGGUAACGGCUUACCAAGGCGACGAUGCGUAGCCGACCUGAGAGGGUGGUCGGCCACACUGGAACUGAGACACGGUCCAGACUCCUACGGGAGGCAGCAGUAGGGAAUCUUCCGCAAUGGGCGAGAGCCUGACGGAGCAACGCCGCGUGAGUGAUGAAGGUCUUCGGAUCGUAAAACUCUGUUAUUAGGGAAGAACAAAUGUGUAAGUAACUGUGCACGUCUUGACGGUACCUAAUCAGAAAGCCACGGCUAACUACGUG
This 497-nucleotide ribosomal RNA is filed under the name uncultured bacterium. Its description in RNAcentral is "partial 16S ribosomal RNA". It matches the Rfam family "Bacterial small subunit ribosomal RNA", at positions 28 to 507 of the family's 1533-position model. The record is from RNAcentral.